RNAcentral lists this long non-coding RNA (2592 nucleotides) under Homo sapiens (human). RNAcentral's name for it is "uncharacterized LOC105376177, transcript variant 3 (LOC105376177)". The record is from RNAcentral. Lineage: Eukaryota; Metazoa; Chordata; Mammalia; Primates; Hominidae.
GCCGGAAGCCCCCUGCUCUGUGGGAACCGGAGGGAGGACAGCGCGAGGUCCCCGGACAAAGCGUGGCGCAUAAGUCCGGCCCGUAACUUGGUGGGCAGGCAACUUAGGGGAUGUGGGCCUGGUUAUAGCUGAGCAUGCUUUUCUAUUCCUCCCAGACCACAGUUCUUCAGACCUGGAGCCACUUUCAGAGAAGAGUAUAAGUUGCACUGAAUUGAAAAAGGGAAAAGUUUAGGACUGCAGAAGAUGGAAUUCCUGGGGACGUUAAACUGGGCUAAGAUGGAGCAGAUAAGAUUUCCUUAAUUAGAGCAAGACACACCUAGUAUCUAGAGCCUGGAAGUCUUGGUCAAGGAUUCUCCCUAACAUCUCAGUUUCUCAGCACUAACAUUCCUGCUACUAAAAUGAAGUGAGAAAUUAAUUUCUGAAGUUAAGUAAAGAAAUAAACUAAAAUUCCUAGAAAAGAGGUAAGAAGAAUGAGCCUUUGAAAAAUGUCUUCACAAAGACUGGCAUGAUGGCAUGGAAGAAAGAGCCCCAGAUAUCCAGUAUACAUCUCAAGGUCAACUUGUCCAAAACAGAGCUACUGAUGAUUUUCCCCUUGAAAUCUACUCUUCCUACAGCUUAUUCAUCUCAAAUAUCUCCCUCUCUUGCCAAGCCUGGACUGUACUGCCAUGAUCUCAGCUCGCUGCAACCUCCCUGCCUCGAGUUCUGGUGAUUCUCCUGCCUCGGCCUGACAUUCCAGGCAGGCGCCGCCACUCCUGACUGGUUUUUGUAUUUUUGGUGGAGACGGGGUUUCACCGUGUUGACCGGGCUGGUCUCCAGCUCCUGGCCUCGGGUGAUCUGCCCACCUCGGCCUCCCGAGGUGCUGGGAUUGCAGACGGAGUCUCGCUCACUCAAUGCUCAAUGUUGCCCAGGCUGGAGUGCAGUGGCGUGAUCUCAGCUUGCUACAACCUCCACCUCCCAGCCGCCUGCCUUGGCCUCCCAAAGUGCUAAGAUUACAGCCUCUGCCCACCCGCCACCCCGUCUAGGAAGUGAGCAGCGUCUCUGCCUGGCCGCCCAUCGUCUGGGAUGUGAGGAGCACCUUUGCCCGGCCGCCCCGUCUGGGAAGUGAGGAGCGCCUCUGCCCGGCCACCCCGUCUGGGAGGUGAGGAGCAUCUCUGCCCGGCCACCCCGUCUGGGAGGUGAGGAGCGCCUCUGCCCGGCUGCCCAGUCUGGGAAGUGAGGAGCGCCCCUGCCCACCCGCCCAUUGUCUGGGAAGUGAGGAGCACCUCUGCCCAGUCGCCCCGUCUGGGAAGUGAGGAGCGCCUCUGCCCGGCCGCCCCGUCUGGGAUGUGAGGAGCGCCUCUGCCCGGCCGCCCCGUCUGGGAUGUGAGGAGCGCCUCUGCCCAGCCGCCACCCCAUCUGGGAAGUGGGGAGCGCCUCUGCCCGGCCGCCCCAUCUGGGAUGUGAGGAGCGCCUCUGCCUGGCCUCCCCGUCUGGGAGGUGGGGAGCGCCUCUGCCCAGCCGCCCCGUCUGGGAGGUGAGGAGCAUCUCUACCUGGCUGCUCAUCAUCUGGGAUGUGAGGAGCACCUCUGCCCGGCCGCCCCAUCUGGGAAGUGAGGAGCGCCUCUGCCCAGCCACCCUUCGUCUGGGAGGUGAGGAGCGUCUCUGCCUGGCCGCCCAUUGUCUGGGAUGUGAGGAGCGCCUCUGCCCGGCCGCCCCCUCUGGGAAGUGAGGAGUGCCUCUGCCUGGCCGCCCCAUCUGGGAGGUGUACCCAACAGCUCCGAAGAGACAGCGACCAUUGAGAACGGGCCAUGAUGACGAUGGUGGUUUUGUUGAAAAAUAAAGGGGGAAAUGUGGGGAAAAGAAAGAGAGAUCAGAUUGUUACUGUGUCUGUGUAGAAAGAAGUAGACAUAGGAGACUCCAUUUUGUUCUGUACUAAGAAAAAUUCUUCUGCCUUGGGAUGCUGUUAAUCUAUAACCUUACCCCCAACCCCGUGCUCUCUGAAACAUGUGCUGUGUCAACUCAGGGUUAAAUGGAUUAAGGGUGGUGCAAGAUGUGCUUUGUUAAACAGAUGCUUGAAGGCAGCAUGCUCCUUAAGAGUCAUCACCACUCCCUAAUCUCAAGUACCCAGGGACACAAACACUGCGGAAGGCCGCAGGGUCCUCUGCCUAGGAAAACCAGAGACCUUUGUUCACGUGUUUAUCUGCUGACCUUCUCUCCACUAUUAUCCUAUGACCCUGCCACAUCCCCCUCGCCGAGAAACACCCAAGAAUGAUCAAUAAAUACUAAAAAAAAAAAAAAGUUAUUUCUUCUAAUCAAUAUUUCCAAGAGUUUCAACCUCUAAUUUUAAAUCUCUCAGUUUGAUUUCCUCUUUUACUGUCUUUCCUAAGGUGAUUAGCAUUUGUAAUUGCCAGAAGGAAUUAAGUCCCCCAAACCGUAACCUGAUGAAUCACAGAUAGUCAGGUCAAUCACCAGCCUUAUUAAAUAUUCACUUAAAAGUUUAAGUAGUUGUAUUUCAUCACCUAAAAGUUAUAAUUCUACAGUACAAAGGACUUUUUCUUAAAUUAACAUGAAUAACCAGUUAUGUGAUGAUAAAUAAACUUUUUAAGUAAGGAA